CGGCGGACGGGUGAGUAACGCGUGGGUAACCUGCCUCAUACAGGGGGAUAACAGUUAGAAAUGACUGCUAAUACCGCAUAAGACCACAAGGUCGCAUGACCAGGUGGUAAAAACUACCGGUGGUAUGAGAUGGACCCGCGUCUGAUUAGCUAGUUGGUGGGGUAACGGCCUACCAAGGCGACGAUCAGUAGCCGACCUGAGAGGGUGACCGGCCACAUUGGGACUGAGACACGGCCCAA
This 239-nucleotide ribosomal RNA is filed under the name uncultured bacterium. Its description in RNAcentral is "partial 16S ribosomal RNA". It matches the Rfam family "Bacterial small subunit ribosomal RNA", at positions 96 to 334 of the family's 1533-position model. The record is from RNAcentral.